ACAUUGGUGAUUGAGAAUCUCGAGAAAAUAUACAUGUUAUUUGCUAUAGUUCUCACACAUUCUUUGCAUAUCAAUGUUAAAUGAAAGUUAUCUGUACUUCCAUUAUACAUUUGUCUUUUAACGUAAACAAGUUGUAUCCUCUCUCUACCCCCCUCUCUCUCUAUCAGGACUCAUCUGGUAACAGUUUACUGCUUGAAGAUGUGCUCUCCGAUGCAGAGCUUGAUGCUCAAUUAGACUCCUGGAGAGAAAAGCUUGUUGUGGUUGGAAGGGAAUCCGCUGAGCUGCACAGAGAGGUUCAUGCAUUGCAAAAGCAGUCUAUCUUAAGCAGCAGUUGUGCCAGGUCUGUCGCUGAGGCACUAGAACCAUUCAAGCAGAACUCCAUGCAUGCCAUGCUCAAGGUUCACUUGACACAGAAAUGCUAAGAACUGCAUCUGAACUACGUGCAAAAAUGGAGAUAAUGAAGGCCAAGAGAAGGGAAGAGAUGGAGCGCAUUAGAAUUGAGAGGAUUUACAAUCCUGACAAGAGUCAAUCUAUGAUGUAUAGCAAUGGCCUCUCUGCUAGUUUGGAGGAUCUUCAUGAAUUUGCAGAUAAUAUGACAAAAAAGAUGUGAACAUGGACGUUGCCCUGCAUUUUGGUAAAUCAGGCAAAGUCUCAAGGAUGGUUUGGAAUUACUGUUAUGCCAUCGCAUUAAUUCGAAUAACCAUAUCUUCACAUAACAGAUGUUGGUGUCACCACGUUUAAACGCCUGGCAAUACAAGUAUAGCAUCUCAGCAGACUGAUAUGAUAUGAAUCUAGAUUUUGUCACCAAUACUAGCAUGUUAACAGCUUUAAGGAAUGUAUGUAUCAGUGUGAUGCCACUGCUCGAAAUUUAAGCUUCAUCUUGUCUGUGUUUAUGUGUGUGCGCAUUUGAAAUGGUGAAACUAUUGUUGCCAUUUAAAACAGCCUUGCCUGUUUGGAUUGCCAUUUA
Magnolia sinica is the source of this 967-nucleotide RNA transcript. It is a transcript of the gene named protein MIS12 homolog, with no coding region annotated. Lineage: Eukaryota; Viridiplantae; Streptophyta; Magnoliopsida; Magnoliales; Magnoliaceae. The record is from RefSeq and is a predicted model, not a curated record. The transcript has 4 exons.